GUUGGUGAACCAGCGGAGGGAUCAUUACCGAGUUUACAACUCCCAAACCCCUGUGAAUAUACCAUUGCUGCUUCGGCGGAUCACCCCGGGCGCUUCGGCGCCCCGGACCCAGGUGCCCGCCAGAGGACCACAACUCUGUAUCAAAUGUCGUCUGAGUACUAUAAAAUAGUUAAAACUUUCAACAACGGAUCUCUUGGUUCUG
RNAcentral lists this unclassified non-coding RNA (202 nucleotides) under rhizosphere metagenome. RNAcentral's name for it is "partial ribosomal RNA internal transcribed spacer region". The record is from RNAcentral.